UCGAAUAACUAAGGUCGAAUUUUAGCGAGCAGAGACGAAAGACGAGCUACAAAAACGGCGACUUGAAAGUUCAAUAACAGCGACAGAAGUGGAUUUGAACUGUUUCCUUCUUCACGAGAGGAUGCGUCUAACCGUAAGACUGUGGUGUUUUAUACCGAAAAGUGUCCGAUUUAGGUUUAAGUUUAUACCCUUUAGCCAUUUAGCAUAGUCCUAGAAAGCAAGUAAGCCAUCCGGGAUUCUUUCAGGAACGCCAACUCCACGGAGAUGCUGCAUUUCUCAGACUAACAACUAGUUGUCCUGAUGGAACAGAUAUGUGGGGGCGUUUUUUUGCUCGUGUCGGACCUAACCCUGAACACCUGGCAAGUGCUAGACCCAGGCAGAUGUUGCUACAACAAUGAGUGCAUUUCUGAUAGUGAAUGAAGAGAAUGACAGAGAAUGAAGCCAAGUGUCCAUCUGCCUGCCUGCCGGCGUGAGUGAGUGAGUGAGAAAGACUGAAUGAAUGAGUGAGAGUGUGAGUAAAUGAGAAGAGACAGCAAGCUUUGUGAUGUAAUAGUUGUGUUGACCACUGUGACCUAGUUGCAGUAUCUCCCCCCAGUAGCCACUCCCGGUGCAAGACAAAGGUUAUGGGAACUGGACACUACUAGCAUCUGUUUGCUCCAUGCAGAAGCCGUGGGUAAUUUUAAAUUGGUUUGCAGGACAGAUUUACUUGGGAGUUUUUUUAUUGUCUUAAAACAGUUAAAGUACGGAUGCAUAAGAUUAGAAAGCUGCCUGAGGUUUAUUAUAAAAAAUUUCUCAGUCAUUAAAAACAUAAUUUAUGAAUGGUUGUCACUUAUGGCUAGUGUUUUGUUGAUGGAACAUCAGCAAAGGUUACAUGGUACAUACACAUGUACACACAUACCUUGACCUUAUCCAGCCAUACCCUAAACUUAAUAUACCCCCACACCUAACCCAGGCUGUGCUGUCGUGUCAUGCAAUAUCAGGUCCAGAUUAUCAUUUGCAUUGUAAUGUAUUCAGUGUGAAAGAUGGUAACGUGUUUAAGCACUGGUUUCACUUUAGGAGUAUUUUGUUAAGCACUGUUCUCACUUCAGAUGUUUUUGGGCUUCAAUUGGGCAUUCCACUUGCCAUGAGUUUUGAACAAGCAUGAAAUUGAAAAAUCACUGCUCUGUUCUAGUUCAGCCUUCCUAUUAGAGUGUCUGAGAGUGUCACACAUGUCAACUAGGGUGUGGAAAGCAGAGGUGGCAUGUGCUGGGUGAGAAGCAGUGUUUUUGUACGAGCCGUGAAGGUGCGGAGAGGUUCCCAGCCCUCAGUAAGGGCCACUCACUCCAGAACCUCGGACAGAUUGUUCACCAACUCAUUCAACAUUUGUUGAUAAAAUGGGUAGUAACUAGCUACUGUUUCAGUUUAGUUCAUGUGCAUAAGUCAAAUUUUGUAAAAUUCUUUUAGCAUUUUUGAAUCACAUUAGAUAAAGUAUAUGUAUCUAUUUUUUUUUAUUCUGAUAUAUUUAUUUGUUAAUGCUGUUCUGUUAGUUUCAACACCCGGUCUGUUUUGCUUUUCCUUAUACAUGUCAUUUUGAAACUGAUUUUUAUGGUGGACCAAAAGUAAAACAACCAAUAGGCACAGUUGUUCUGUUUUUAUCAUUUCCUUUGCUUACAGCUAUUUUGUUUUAAGAA
Non-coding RNA from Electrophorus electricus (electric eel), 1670 nucleotides. NCBI's taxonomy places the organism in Eukaryota, Metazoa, Chordata, Actinopteri, Gymnotiformes, Gymnotidae. The record is from RefSeq and is a predicted model, not a curated record.